Molecule: ribosomal RNA, 477 nt
Filed under: uncultured bacterium
Lineage: Bacteria
Description: partial 16S ribosomal RNA
Rfam family: Bacterial small subunit ribosomal RNA
Source: RNAcentral
GAUUAACGCUGGCGGCGUGCAUAACACAUGCAAGUCGAACGAUGAAACUUAAAUGAUUUCUUCGGAAUGAACUUAAGUGGAUUAGUGGCGGACGGGUGAGUAACGCGUGAGUAACCUGCCUUACACAAGGGGAUAGCCGUUGGAAACGACGAAUAAUACCCUAUGAAACUAUCACUUCGCAUGAAGCGAUAGUCAAAGUGUUAGCGGUGUAAGAUGGACUUGCGUCUGAUUAGCUAGUUGGUGAGAAAAAAGCCCACCAAGGCAACGAUCAGUAGCCGGCUUGAGAGAGUGUACGGCCACAUUGGGACUGAGACACGGCCCAGACUCCUACGGGAGGCAGCAGUGGGGAAGUUUGCACAAUGGGGGAAACCCUGAUGCAGCGACGCCGCGUGAUUGAGAAGGCCUUCGGGUUGUAAAAAUCUUUUGUAUAGGAAGAAAAUGACAGUACUAUACGAAUAAGGUCCGGCUAAUUACGUG